AACGCUAGCUACAGGCUUAACACAUGCAAGUCGAGGGGAAACGACAUCGAAAGCUUGCUUUUGAUGGGCGUCGACCGGCGCACGGGUGAGUAACGCGUAUCCAACCUGCCCACCACUUGGGGAUAACCUUGCGAAAGUAAGACUAAUACCCAAUGACGUCUCUAGAAGACAUCUGAAAGAGAUUAAAGAUUUAUCGGUGAUGGAUGGGGAUGCGUCUGAUUAGCUUGUUGGCGGGGUAACGGCCCACCAAGGCGACGAUCAGUAGGGGUUCUGAGAGGAAGGUCCCCCACAUUGGAACUGAGACACGGUCCAAACUCCUACGGGAGGCAGCAGUGAGGAAUAUUGGUCAAUGGGCGAGAGCCUGAACCAGCCAAGUAGCGUGCAGGAUGACGGCCCUAUGGGUUGUAAACUGCUUUUAUAAGGGAAUAAAGUGAGCCUCGUGAGGCUUUUUGCAUGUACCUUAUGAAUAAGGACCGGCUAAUUCCGUGCCAGCAGCCGCGGUAAUACGGAAGGUCCGGGCGUUAUCCGGAUUUAUUGGGUUUAAAGGGAGCGUAGGCCGGAGAUUAAGCGUGUUGUGAAAUGUAGGCGCUCAACGUCUGCACUGCAGCGCGAACUGGUUUCCUUGAGUACGCACAAAGUGGGCGGAAUUCGUGGUGUAGCGGUGAAAUGCUUAGAUAUCACGAAGAACUCCGAUUG
Molecule: ribosomal RNA, 696 nt
Filed under: uncultured bacterium
Lineage: Bacteria
Description: bacterial SSU rRNA
Rfam family: Bacterial small subunit ribosomal RNA
Source: RNAcentral